CACGUAGUUGGCCGGUGCUUCUUCUGCAGGUACCGUCACUUGCGCUUCGUCCCUGCUGAAAGAGGUUUACAACCCGAAGGCCGUCAUCCCUCACGCGGCGUCGCUGCAUCAGGCUUUCGCCCAUUGUGCAAUAUUCCCCACUGCUGCCUCCCGUAGGAGUCUGGGCCGUGUCUCAGUCCCAGUGUGGCCGGUCGCCCUCUCAGGCCGGCUACCCGUCGUCGCCUUGGUAGGCCAUUACCCCACCAACAAGCUGAUAGGCCGCGGGCUCAUCCCUAGCCAGUAAACCCUUUCCACCUCGGAAGAUGCCUUCUGAGGUCGUAUCCGGUAUUAGCCCCGGUUUCCCGGGGUUAUCCCAGAGCUAGGGGCAGAUUGCCCACGUGUUACUCACCCGUUCGCCGCUAGGACAUCCUUCCCGAAGGAAGGAGCCUCGCUCGACUUGCAUGUGUUAAGCACGCCGCCAGCGUUCGUCCUGAGCCAGGAUCAAACUCU
This 489-nucleotide ribosomal RNA is filed under the name uncultured Actinomycetales bacterium. RNAcentral's name for it is "partial 16S ribosomal RNA". Lineage: Bacteria; Bacillati; Actinomycetota; Actinomycetes; Actinomycetales. The record is from RNAcentral.